GCUUACACAUGCAAGUCGAACGGGCUCUUCGGAGCUAGUGGCGGACGGGUGAGUAACGCGUGAGAAUCUGCCUUCAGGAGGGGGAUAACGACUGGAAACGGUCGCUAAUACCCCAUAUGCCUCCNGGGUGAAAAGUAAUUCGCCUGAAGAUGAGCUCGCGUCAGAUUAGCUAGUUGGUGGGGUAAGAGCCUACCAAGGCGACGAUCUGUAGCUGGUCUGAGAGGAUGAUCAGCCACACUGGGACUGAGACACGGCCCAGACUCCUACGGGAGGCAGCAGUGGGGAAUUUUCCGCAAUGGGCGCAAGCCUGACGGAGCAAGACCGCGUGGGGGAUGACGGCCUAAUGGUUGUAAACCCCUUUUCUCUGGGAAGAAGACUGACGGUACCAGAGGAAUCAGCCUCGGCUAACUCCGUGCCAGCAGCCGCGGUAAUACGGAGGAGGCAAGCGUUAUCCGGAAUUAUUGGGCGUAAAGCGUCCGUAGGUGGUUAUUCAAGUCUGCUGUCAAAGCGUGGGGCUCAACUCCAUAGAGGCAGUGGAAACUGAGUGACUAGAGUGCGGUAGGGGUCGAGGGAAUUCCCAGUGUAGCGGUGAAAUGCGUAGAUAUUGGGAAGAACACCAGUGGCGAAAGCGCUCGACUGGGCCUGCACUGACACUGAGGGACGAAAGCUAGGGGAGCGAAAGGGAUUAGAUACCCCUGUAGUCCU
This 705-nucleotide ribosomal RNA is filed under the name uncultured organism. RNAcentral's name for it is "bacterial SSU rRNA". It matches the Rfam family "Bacterial small subunit ribosomal RNA", at positions 46 to 797 of the family's 1533-position model. The record is from RNAcentral.